This is a long non-coding RNA of Orussus abietinus, 490 nucleotides long. RefSeq lists it as uncharacterized. The record is from RefSeq and is a predicted model, not a curated record. The transcript is spliced from 3 exons. NCBI's taxonomy places the organism in Eukaryota, Metazoa, Arthropoda, Insecta, Hymenoptera, Orussidae.
CAUCAUUAUAACUACUUCUUACCAAUAAGGAUUGUAUUAAGUACAAUGGUCAUGAAAUACGAGACCGAGUUGAGAGUAUCAUGGGGUUUAGUGUCACUAUUGAAAAUUUAGAAUACAUAAUUAUAAAUACAGUUGGUCGUCAAGGAUUCCCCACAAAGGAUGGAAUAAACGUUAAGCAAUUACCGGGUGAAACGAGUGAUUACAGUAAAUGACACAUGCUGAUAACUCCUAAGUGUGUGCGGCAUACACUGACGGAAGGUUCGGAACUCUCUGUGAAAAUUAGAAAAUAUUGGAAAAUGUCUGCAGACCACUAUGAAGCAAAUAAUAUCAGAUCUGAACUGGUAGAAAUAAUUAAAUGGACCUUCCAAACGAACAGAAGCGUCAACCUGGCGACGAGCCUUCGGGAGAAUUCGUGGAAUAAUUCGCUCAAGAUACGCCGAAAAGGAAGAGGAAUUAUUUCCAAGACGAAUGUAGAUACCGACUUACCUUC